GUCCACGCCGUAAACGAUGGAUACUAGCUGUUGGGGAGCGAUCUCAGUGGCUAAGCGAAAGUGAUAAGUAUCCCACCUGGGGAGUACGUUCGCAAGAAUGAAACUCAAAGGAAUUGACGGGGGCCCGCACAAGCGGUGGAGCAUGUGGUUUUAAUUCGAUGAUACGCGAGGAACCCUUACCAAGGCUUAAAUGUAGAUUGACCGGUUUGGAACAGAUCUUUCGCAAGACAAUUUACAAGGUGCUGCAUGGUUGUCGU
Molecule: ribosomal RNA, 257 nt
Filed under: uncultured bacterium
Lineage: Bacteria
Description: partial 16S ribosomal RNA
Rfam family: Bacterial small subunit ribosomal RNA
Source: RNAcentral